GGCUGUUCCGAGGGGAGCUCCGGUCAAGGAGCUGAGAGACCCGCCGAUCGAUACCGCGGGGACCCUUUGAACCUGAUCCGGGUCAUGCCGGCGAAGGGACAGGACAUGCCAACGGU
RNAcentral lists this non-coding RNA (116 nucleotides) under Alphaproteobacteria bacterium. RNAcentral's name for it is "TPP sequence". It matches the Rfam family "TPP riboswitch aptamer (THI element)". From Rfam's summary of the family: Vitamin B(1) in its active form thiamin pyrophosphate (TPP) is an essential coenzyme that is synthesised by coupling of pyrimidine and thiazole moieties in bacteria. The previously detected thiamin-regulatory element, thi box was extended, resulting in a new, highly conserved RNA secondary structure, the THI element, which is widely distributed in eubacteria and also occurs in some archaea. The record is from RNAcentral. Lineage: Bacteria; Pseudomonadati; Pseudomonadota; Alphaproteobacteria.